RNAcentral lists this unclassified non-coding RNA (245 nucleotides) under Hevea brasiliensis (rubber tree). The record is from RNAcentral. Lineage: Eukaryota; Viridiplantae; Streptophyta; Magnoliopsida; Malpighiales; Euphorbiaceae.
GAGUUGAAGAUGGAGAAUAACCAGCAAUCAUUUUGGCAAUUCAGUGAUCAGUUGAGGGUACAUACUUCAAACUUUGCAAAUCUUUCACUCAACGACUCAAUAUGGAGCAAUUCUUAUGGGGCAAAGAGGCCAAAUGAGAGGAGGAAUUUUGAUACAAGAGUUGGAGGUGAAUUGAAUUCUGUUAUCAAUUCUAAGUCAAAAGAGUCUGAUUUGAACAAUGGUUUCAAUGAUGGGUGGAAGAUAGG